This 576-nucleotide ribosomal RNA is filed under the name Firmicutes bacterium oral taxon F06. RNAcentral describes it as "bacterial SSU rRNA". It matches the Rfam family "Bacterial small subunit ribosomal RNA", at positions 28 to 493 of the family's 1533-position model. Lineage: Bacteria; Bacillati; Bacillota. The record is from RNAcentral.
GAUGAACGCGGCGGCGUGCUUAACACAUGCAAGUCGAGCGGGCAAUUUGCUCAACACUGAUUACUUUAUUAAAAGGAAGAAUACAAUGGCUGACGCCAGAGUAUUCAUGAGUUUUUUCCUUAGUAUCAAAUAGGAAAACUCAUGUACGCAUUCCUUGUGAUUAACACAUAGAGUAAUGAGAGUUGAGCAAAUUGCUAGCGGCGGACGGGUGCGUAACACGUGGGUAACCUGCCCUUAUCACCGGGAUAACACACUGAAAAGUGUGCUAAUACCGGAUAACAUCAACUUAUGGCAUCAUAAGAUGAUCAAAGCGUUAGCGGAUAAGGAUGGGCCCGCGUCUGAUUAGCUAGUUGGUAGGGUAACGGCCUACCAAGGCAACGAUCAGUAGCCGACCUGAGAGGGUGAUCGGCCACACUGGAACUGAGACACGGUCCAGACUCCUACGGGAGGCAGCAGUGGGGAAUAUUGCACAAUGGGCGAAAGCCUGAUGCAGCAACGCCGCGUGAGCGAUGAAGGCCUUCGGGUCGUAAAGCUCUGUCCUAUGGGAAGAUAAUGACGGUACCCUAGGAGAGGCCC